This is a long non-coding RNA of Apis cerana (Asiatic honeybee), 417 nucleotides long. RefSeq lists it as uncharacterized. The record is from RefSeq and is a predicted model, not a curated record. NCBI's taxonomy places the organism in Eukaryota, Metazoa, Arthropoda, Insecta, Hymenoptera, Apidae.
UUAAUGCUGUUUUCUUAUUUGCAGGAUCGGAUUUUCUCGUUCGAAUGUAAAAAUUUCUCUAAAUCGAAAUCUCGUUGUACAAUUUAGAUCAAAGCUUAAGGAUUUGAUAGCGCCGAAGUAAAAUUGAACCUUCUCGAUUAUUAUUUCUUCCAAUUGUCAAGGACAAUUCUGAAAACUGUCGACAUUUUUUCAAACCGUCAAUUAAAAGUGAUCGCUAGUUUAAUGACAGAACGAUCUGCCAACGAUCUCGACAAGCACUCGACAAAGAAUGCUUGCUAGCACGCAUAAAUUCAAACAAUCAAAUGUACUUGUAGAAAAUACUUCGAAAAAAAGGUGAGAAAAAAACUGCCCCAAUUACGAGACGCGAAUUUGGAUAAUGCCGGAAGGCGGAUGAAAUGAAAUAUUCGAAAGGAGAGA